RNAcentral lists this ribosomal RNA (212 nucleotides) under uncultured bacterium. RNAcentral's name for it is "partial 16S ribosomal RNA". It matches the Rfam family "Bacterial small subunit ribosomal RNA", at positions 120 to 334 of the family's 1533-position model. The record is from RNAcentral.
GGUGACCUGCCCAAAUGGGGACAACUCCGGGAAACUGGAGCUAAUACCCCAUGUGAUCAUGUGAUUUAGAAACAUAUGAUUAAAGGAUUUAUUCGCUUUGGGAGGGGCCUGCGUCCCAUCAGCUAGUUGGUAGGGUAAUGGCCUACCAAGGCUACGACGGGUAGGGGGCCUGAGAGGGUGGCCCCCCACAAUGGAACUGAAACACGGUCCAU